Long non-coding RNA from Dalotia coriaria, 899 nucleotides. RefSeq lists it as uncharacterized. The record is from RefSeq and is a predicted model, not a curated record. Lineage: Eukaryota; Metazoa; Arthropoda; Insecta; Coleoptera; Staphylinidae. The transcript has 2 exons.
AGGAUCGCGCGCGCGUCGCAGUCGCUCCACGAAUUUCAACACCGCGUGCAGCGACUUUUUCGUGCGUCGAUUGUACGGUGACACAGACACAUCGCAACAAAACUCGAGCACGUGCUCUUCUUCAGACGGCGUUAAACCAGCUUCCUCUAAAACGGCCAUCCGCUUUGUUUUUCCAAGUAUAUUAUCGUACAGCGUACCCUUUGGUAUGCCGUACUUUUGUGACGCUUGCGUGAAGCGCAUUUUUUGCUUUACAACGGCUUCGAUGGCUUCCUUGAGCUGAUCCUGCGUCCAUGUCGGUGUUUUUAACUUUAAUAGAGGAUAUUCUAAUAACAAAAGGUGAAAACAAAAUAAAACACAAACCAAAGAUGGAAACAAAUGAAAAUCAUAAAUUACAAAAUAAAAACAAUUGAAGAAAAACAAAGCACGUCGAAAGAGUAAUAAUAAAUUAAGAACCAAUCGUAAUCCCGAAAAGGCGAAGGAAGCGAGGAGAAAGAACAAAAGGAGACGUCGAGAACGGCGGGACGCCACGGCACCGGCUUCAUAGGUGGGCUUCGGCGGCCAUGUUAAUUGGUGUAACAACCAGAGAGGAGCGAAUACGAUCAGAUCAACUUGCUACUUCUUUCUCGGACGGUUCGGAACGGCUUAAAAUCGAUAUAAAAGUAAAUUCCAUCGUGCAUUCAAUGUACUCCAUCACACAAUGUAAAGUCGCAAGUAUUGUGACAGGUUAUAAGUUAUUUUAUUUAAAAAAUUCAUUUUUAAUCUUAUUACCAUGCUGCAUUUUUAAGUAUUCGAAUGCGAAAAGAAAAUAAGUUGCACGAUUAGCAUCAAAACAAUCGCAUACACGCACGUAUAUUAUUCAGUUAUUCAGCAACAAUCUAUGAAUAAAAGAAGCAAGCGUA